UACGUAGGGGGCUAGCGUUGUCCGGAUUUAUUGGGCGUAAAGAGCGUGUAGGCGGCCAGGUAGGUCUGCUGUGAAAACUCGAGGCUCAACCUCGAGACGUCGGCGGAAACCAUCUGGCUAGAGUCCGGAAGAGGAGAAUGGAAUUCCUGGUGUAGCGGUGAAAGUGCGCAGAUAUCAGGAAGAACACCCGUGGCGAAGGCGGCGUCUCUGGGACGGUACUGACGCUGAGACGCGAAAGCGUGGGAGCGAACAGG
RNAcentral lists this ribosomal RNA (254 nucleotides) under uncultured bacterium. RNAcentral describes it as "partial 16S ribosomal RNA". It matches the Rfam family "Bacterial small subunit ribosomal RNA", at positions 524 to 776 of the family's 1533-position model. The record is from RNAcentral.